Molecule: RNA transcript, 693 nt
Organism: Athalia rosae (coleseed sawfly)
Lineage: Eukaryota; Metazoa; Arthropoda; Insecta; Hymenoptera; Athaliidae
Gene name: acylphosphatase-1-like
Exons: 5
Source: RefSeq, a predicted model, not a curated record
GCGCACGAGGGAUUUAAAGGGACACGAUUUUUUAAAGUGCUCCGAAUUUAUUUUUUUUCGAAUUUUCUUUUUCUAGCGGAGGAGCCUCCGCCAGACUUUUGGUACCAGUUCUUCGAGUUUUGUUUUUUAUAUUCAAGGAGAUUCAAGACUGUGAAAACGUUGAGAUGACUUCGAAGCUCGUGGGGUUAGAUUUUGAAGUUUUCGGAAGAGUUCAGGGUGUUUUUUUUCGGAAGUACACUCAAGAGCAGGGAAAGGCGUUGGGACUAAAAGGAUGGUGCAAGAACACCGAACGAGGGACCGUCCUCGGCUACAUGGAAGGCGACAAAGCGAGGAUAGAAGACAUGAAACGGUGGUUGCAGUACACGGGCAGUCCACAGUCGCAAAUUGAAAAGGCCGAAUUCCGAAACGAAAAAGAAAAAACGGAGACCCAGUUUUCAAAUUUUAAAAUUGUCAAGUGAUACGGAUUGCAAAUUUGAAUGUAAAUCGGUCGAAAACAAGUAUACUCAAGAAUAAAAUGAGUCACAUUAUAGCAAACACAACCGCUGUAUAAAUUACAUAUUCUCGCAUCGCUCACGGUAAAUGAAUCGUUAAAAAUUACCGAAGGCUGAUCUCGAGCACAAUGGAGAGAGUUGUUGAUGGCUCUGCAUCGAUCGAUCUCAGAUUUUUUUGGUAAUAAAACCGAAAAAUUCUAUA